Molecule: ribosomal RNA, 253 nt
Filed under: uncultured bacterium
Lineage: Bacteria
Description: partial 16S ribosomal RNA
Rfam family: Bacterial small subunit ribosomal RNA
Source: RNAcentral
AACGUAGGAGGCAAGCGUUAUCCGGAGUGACUGGGAGUAAAGCGCAUGUAGGCGGUUGGGCAAGUGGCGUGUGAAAGCGCUCGGCUAAACUGAGCGAGGACAGGUCAGACUGCCGAACUGGAGUCCGAUAGAGGAGCGUAGAAUUCCGGGUGUAGCGGUGAAAUGUGUAGAGAUCCGGAGGAAUACCAGUGGCGCAAGCGGCGCUCUGGGUCGGGACUGACGCUGAGAUGCGAAAGCGUGGGGAGCGAACGGG